RNAcentral lists this ribosomal RNA (253 nucleotides) under uncultured bacterium. RNAcentral describes it as "partial 16S ribosomal RNA". It matches the Rfam family "Bacterial small subunit ribosomal RNA", at positions 524 to 776 of the family's 1533-position model. The record is from RNAcentral.
UACGAAGGGGGCUAGCGUUGCUCGGAAUCACUGGGCGUAAAGCGCACGUAGGCGGAUCUUUAAGUCGGGGGUGAAAUCCUGGGGCUCAACCUCAGAAUUGCCUCCGAUACUGGCAGUCUCGAGUGCGGGAGAGGUGAGUGGAAUUCCCAGUGUAGAGGUGAAAUUCGUAGAUAUUGGGAAGAACACCAGUGGCGAAGGCGGCUCACUGGCCCGUAACUGACGCUGAGGUGCGAAAGCGUGGGGAGCAAACAGG